UAAAAACAAAUAAAAUUCAGUUAGCAUUCACAAUAUAAAAAAGUGGAAAAAAGCAUCUAAAGGAGAAUAGUAUUAGGUCGAAGUACGUUAGGCCGAAUGGCUUGUUGGGCCGAAAGCUUAAUUUUUAUUAUAAAAGAUGGUAAGAUGUUUUUGCGCUUUUCUGCUACAAGAUUUUUGACUUCCUUUGACAUUUCUUACCUCUAGAACAUAUAAUAAUAUAAAUACUAAUAUUUCUUGAAUCAUGAUUUUGGGGUAACCUUACAUAAUUUUAUAUUAUUAUUGACAGUCAAAGUACUCAUUGUAGGAACAGUGAUGGUUGUAAAACAUUUUCAAUAAGGUCGCAGUAGGCUGAUUUGUAGAUGUAGCACUAGUAUUAGUUGACAUUUAAGAUUGUUGUUUUUUCACUUUCGUUUCUUAUUUCCGCCAUUAAAGACGCGUGGCAUAAAGCGGUGUUUUUACUUCGCAUCCAAGAUAAAUAUCCCAACAGGUUAUGGGCCCACAGAAGUAAAAUAAAGCGAGUGUGCUCCCGGAUGAAACAGUAGCGAGUGAAGAUAGUUUGGCUCUGCGGCACAAGAGAAACAGAAUGGACAUGAAACUGAAGACUGGAGCGGUUCGGCUGAACUGUGGUAACUAUGACCUGUGGAAAGAAAGGACCAAGCAAAUUCUUGUUCGAGAAGGACUGUGGCGUGUAGUUGUCAACGAUCUUCCUCCGGAAGAUGAAGGAACUGAAGCAUGGAUCGAUAAGGAUGAGCGUGCUGCUGCUACAUUUGGAUACCUGGUUGAAAGUAGUCAGCUGCAACUAAUCAAUCAAGUCGUGGAACAUCCUACACGACUAUCAUGUGAAGCAAACGUCGGCAGGUCGGGUAGGACGGGGACGUUGAAGGGCACUUGAUCGCAAUGGAUACAAUGUUCGACAAGCUGGCGGAAGUCGGAUGUGAGAUAGCUGACGAAUUGAAAGGCGGUUUCAUACUAGCAAGUUUGCCGGAGUCGUACGAGGGAUUUGUUACGGUGAUGGAAGGAAUAGAUGGAGGAUACACUAUGAAGUCAUUGAAGUCGAAGCUCUUGAAACGCCGACAGAAGCUUUCGAGCCAGGAGGAGAAAGCUAUGAAAGCUUAUCGAGAUCCAAGAGUGCCAGGACUGACAGGUGAACAACGGGUGUGUGGUAAUUUUUCUUUUUCGCCAGACUUUGUUUUCAUACUUUUUCUGGCGUGUUCGAUAGGUAGCCGAUUUGACAGUUCGAUAGGUAGAUUGCGCGUCUCUGAUAUAAACAGUCUCUAAAAAACUAAGGUCGUUUUCGUUGUUGAUUCUGUUCUAACCUGGAUUGGAAGGGGAUCAUGUCACAGCUGCAAUCCCAACCCACCGCAGGUUCGUUAGAAUGAAAAUUGGCUUGACGCUUGUUUGUUUACACUUUUUCACUGAUCCAGUUUCAACUCAGGCCUUAAAAUGAAUCCGACAUAAGUGUCAAACCAAGUCGGAAUCAGCAAGGCCUACUUGUUACUUUAUGGACAAACUCCUUCGAAUCCCAGUUCAACAUUACAUCAGCAGAACCUGAAAUGCACACAUCUUAAGAAGCAGUCCACGAACAAAAGUGUAAUGUAUAUUUUGUCCUUGCUCUCUUGUAACAACCUUUGAAUAGGGCUCUGCACGAAAUUCUCUCCCUCUCUUUCGCUCUUAUUGAGAUUUUGUAAACAACAAGGCCAGGAAAUGUCAAAAUCCCAUACAAAAUCAAAACAGUGCAGUGCCCUAUAGGAAAA
This is a long non-coding RNA of Aedes albopictus (Asian tiger mosquito), 1754 nucleotides long. RefSeq lists it as uncharacterized. The record is from RefSeq and is a predicted model, not a curated record. NCBI's taxonomy places the organism in Eukaryota, Metazoa, Arthropoda, Insecta, Diptera, Culicidae. The transcript is spliced from 2 exons.